Ixodes scapularis (black-legged tick) is the source of this 678-nucleotide long non-coding RNA. RefSeq lists it as uncharacterized. The record is from RefSeq and is a predicted model, not a curated record. Lineage: Eukaryota; Metazoa; Arthropoda; Arachnida; Ixodida; Ixodidae. The transcript has 4 exons.
AUUACAUUUGUUCUCCGAGUUUUUAUAGAAGCCCCAUCGCUAUCACCAUCACUAUUUUGAUUUUUCCAAGAUGGCCGUUUUUGUUUCGCGAACGUUCUGCGAGGAGAGUUCGGCGACUUGCGUGACUUACGAACAGAACUGCCUAAUUGUACCUACAAUUGAGUAAAUUGUUUUAGAGGAGGGGAUGCCCAGCUUCAGCAGCUUCAAUGUGCGAGGAACACUCCAGCCCCCUCAACAAAGCUGGAGGUGCGGAUAGAGUUGAGAUUUUAACUGACUAAUGAAUGCUGCAUCGGAUGUUAUGCAGUAUGCCGCUUGUGCCUGGACAAUGGAAGAUGAUGCAAAGGCCAAAAGAAAGCUACUCUGCAUCUGCACUCUGAAUAAUGUGAUGUCUCGGUAGCUACACAUGCUUUGUUAAAGGGAAGUUUAUUUCGCCACUUGCUAGGCAUCAUUGAGCAAGGUGAUCAUGCAGACGGCGACGCAAUGAAGCGUGGAAAUGGGCACCUAAGAGCUGCACUCUAAACCAGUUUUUCUCUGUUGCCGGUGCACAAGCAGGUAAGGGCGGAUAGCAUUCCUAGUGCCAAUUCCUUUGCGGUCAACGAAAAACGCUUUUUGAACAACGCUCUUUCUGUUUUAAGUAUUGUGCAGGCCUUAAGUUUACUAUAAGAACAACAACAACAA